This is a long non-coding RNA of Gadus macrocephalus (Pacific cod), 1165 nucleotides long. RefSeq lists it as uncharacterized. Lineage: Eukaryota; Metazoa; Chordata; Actinopteri; Gadiformes; Gadidae. The record is from RefSeq and is a predicted model, not a curated record. The transcript has 4 exons.
ACGUCUAACUAACUAGUAUGUUUACAUGCAUGGCAUAUCAGAUAAUUCUGUCUGUUCGGUCGCUGCGCAACGAAUGAAUAAAGAUCGUUAGCACUCUGAAAAACAGAUGACAGAUGUGCCCGAAGUUACUACUUUAUUACCUCGCUGAUGACCAACGUUUAGGAAAACAUGUACUUUUAAUUCACCCUUGGGUGAAAUCGAAGCGUAGUGUGUACUGAAUGCGUGUUGAUGAUGAUGCAUAUGAAUUGCAACUUACACGUCUUCCAAACCUUUUCAGUACCCUGGCACAUGCUUUGUCCAAUGGACCAUGGAAGGGACUUUACUUGGCUGACGAGGACGCACCUCACCAGUAUCAGAGCAACAGCUGUGGGGUGUUUAUGCUGCUGGGGGACAUGCUCUCUAUCAGGAGGUGGUGGUUGGACAGCUGUUGGAGACCUUUAUGCUUGAAAGGUUUAUAUACUGUGUCCAUGUUGCUAUUUACUUAUUUUUGGUGCUCACGAAGAUCGUAGCCAAUACACUUGUCUCUCUGUCUCUAGCCCUGCAGAACUAGCUGGCUCCUUCUCCCCCUCUCCAUCUCCCCAUCUCAGUCACACCUUCCAAUCACUAAGCAGUGAAAGCCCUGCAGGGCUAGCUGGCACACCAAGCUCACCCUCUCUAUCUCCCCAUCUCAGCCACACGCUCCAAUCUGGCACAACAGAUGACAGGCCAUUCUUACCACCCGAAGUCCUUCAGCAAAUUGUUCAAGAGACGCUGAGACUGGACAUGGCGAUGCUUGGCGUGUUCAACAGGGUUUCAAACACAUUCCGAGAACUAAUCAAGCCUCUCCAUCCUUCCAUAUAUAUAAAUGAGUUUGGCAGGGGACAUUAAGCUUAAUAAAGACAAUCUCAUAUGCAUAACGGUUAGAAAGAUUUACAACAAUGCAGGCUGUGGCAGUGGCGCUACGCCUCAAAGGCUUCUUAAAAAAGAAGAAUUGGCCAAGAGCACCCCUGGUACUGAGGCACGUUGCAUAUGGCAGGUUUGUCAUAAAAGAUGUCUGCCUAGGAUAAUGUUCUUUUAUUACUCCUUUUUCGUUUUAUUUGGGACGUCUUUUUUUGCAAUCCCUUUCAUUUGUAAAUGUGCAUACUACUGUAGUAAAUGUAUCUGCCCAGAAAUGCUGGUAUUUUAU